This 526-nucleotide ribosomal RNA is filed under the name uncultured bacterium. RNAcentral's name for it is "bacterial SSU rRNA". It matches the Rfam family "Bacterial small subunit ribosomal RNA", at positions 984 to 1509 of the family's 1533-position model. The record is from RNAcentral.
ACAUCCAGAGAACUUGGCAGAGAUGCCUUGGUGCCUUCGGGACCUCUGAGACAGGUGCUGCAUGGCUGUCGUCAGCUCGUGUUGUGAAAUGGUUGGGUUAAGUCCCGNAACGAGCGCAACCCCUAUCCUUUGUUGCCAGCGAUUCGGUCGGGAACUCAAAGGAGACUGCCGGUGAUAAACCGGAGGAAGGUGGGGAUGACGUCAAGUCAUCAUGGCCCUUACGAGUAGGGCUACACACGUGCUACAAUGGCGCAUACAAAGAGAAGCGACCUCGCGAGAGCAAGCGGACCUCAUAAAGUGCGUCGUAGUCCGGAUCGGAGUCUGCAACUCGACUCCGUGAAGUCGGAAUCGCUAGUAAUCGUAGAUCAGAAUGCUACGGUGAAUACGUUCCCGGGCCUUGUACACACCGCCCGUCACACCAUGGGAGUGGGUUGCAAAAGAAGUAGAUAGCUUAACCUUCGGGAGGGCGUUUACCACUUUGUGAUUCAUGACUGGGGUGAAGUCGUAACAAGGUAAGCGUAGCGAG